RNAcentral lists this small RNA (99 nucleotides) under Salmonella enterica subsp. enterica serovar Minnesota. RNAcentral's name for it is "partial RtT sRNA". It matches the Rfam family "RtT RNA", at positions 34 to 130 of the family's 130-position model. From Rfam's summary of the family: This family represents a bacterial cis-regulatory element known as RtT RNA. The exact function of RtT is unknown although it is thought that it may be involved in changing the cellular response in relation to amino acid starvation. Lineage: Bacteria; Pseudomonadati; Pseudomonadota; Gammaproteobacteria; Enterobacterales; Enterobacteriaceae. The record is from RNAcentral.
GGGCAAGAGGUUCGACUCGAGCGCAGCGAGAGAACGUUGCGUCAGCAACGGCCCGCAGGGCGAGCUACGCAGUGGCGAGUCAUCCUCUAUCACCGGCAG